GAUGAACGCUGGCGGCGUGCCUAAUACAUGCAAGUCGAGCGAACAGACGAGGAGCUUGUUCCUCUGACGUUAGCGGCGGACGGGUGAGUAACACGUGGAUAACCUACCUAUAAGACUGGGAUAACUUCGGGAAACCGGAGCUAAUACCGGAUAAUAUAUUGAACCGCAUGGUUCAAUAGUGAAAGACGGUUUUGCUGUCACUUAUAGAUGGAUCCGCGCCGCAUUAGCUAGUUGGUAAGGUAACGGCUUACCAAGGCAACGAUGCGUAGCCGACCUGAGAGGGGGAUCGGCCACACUGGAACUGAGAAACGGUCCAGACUCCAACGGGAGGCAGCAGUAGGGAAUCUUCCGCAAUGGGCGAAGGCCUGACGGAGCAACGCCGCGUGAGGGAUGAAGGUCUUCGGAUCGUAAAACUCUGUUAUUAGGGAAGAACAAAUGUGUAAGUAACUAUGCACGUCUUGACGGUACCUAAUCAGAAAGCCACGGCUAACUACGUG
This 497-nucleotide ribosomal RNA is filed under the name uncultured bacterium. Its description in RNAcentral is "partial 16S ribosomal RNA". It matches the Rfam family "Bacterial small subunit ribosomal RNA", at positions 28 to 507 of the family's 1533-position model. The record is from RNAcentral.